This 301-nucleotide ribosomal RNA is filed under the name uncultured bacterium. RNAcentral describes it as "partial 16S ribosomal RNA". It matches the Rfam family "Bacterial small subunit ribosomal RNA", at positions 509 to 809 of the family's 1533-position model. The record is from RNAcentral.
CAGUCGCCGCGGUAAUACGGAGGGUGCAAGCGUUAUCCGGAUUCACUGGGUUUAAAGGGUGCGUAGGCGGGCAGGUAAGUCAGUGGUGAAAUCUUCGAGCUUAACUCGGAAACUGCCGUUGAUACUAUCUGUCUUGAAUAACGUUGAGGUGAGCGGAAUAUGUCAUGUAGCGGUGAAAUGCUUAGAUAUGACAUAGAACACCGAUUGCGAAGGCAGCUCACUAAACGCUCAUUGACGCUGAGGCACGAAAGCGUGGGGAUCAAACAGGAUUAGAUACCCCAGUAGUCCCUGUCUCUUAUAA